AGGCCGCCCUGGCUCAGUUAUCACAGUGCUGAUGCUGUCCGCUCUGAAGGUACAGUACUGUGAUAACUGAAGGAUGGCGGCC
This is a microRNA precursor of Otolemur garnettii (small-eared galago), 82 nucleotides long. NCBI's taxonomy places the organism in Eukaryota, Metazoa, Chordata, Mammalia, Primates, Galagidae. The record is from Ensembl.